UGGAGAGUUUGAUCCUGGCUCAGGACGAACGCUGGCGGCGUGCUUAACACAUGCAAGUCGAACGAUGAAGCCUGCAACUUGUUGUGGGUGGAUUAGUGGCGAACGGGUGAGUAAUACGUGGGUAACCUGCCCUCCUUUUUGGGAUAAGCCUUGGAAACGGGGUCUAAUACCGAAUAUUCUGGCGCUCUCGCAUGGGGGUGUUGGGAAAGCUUUUGUGUGAGGGGGGAUGGGCUCGCGGCCUAUCAGCUUGUUGGUGGGGUGAUGGCCUACCAAGGCGGUGACGGGUAGCCGGCCUGAGAGGGUGACCGGCCACAUUGGGACUGAGAUACGGCCCAGACUCCUCACGGGAGGCAGCAGUGGGGGAUAUUGCACAAUGGGCGAAAGCCUGAUGCAGNGACGCCGCGUGGGGGAUGAAGGCUUUCGGGGUUGUAAACCUCUUUCGCUAUCGAACAAGGCUCACUUAGGGUGGGUUGAGGGUAGGUGGAGAAGAAGCGCCGGCUAACUACGUGCCAGCAGCCGCGGUA
RNAcentral lists this ribosomal RNA (524 nucleotides) under Actinotignum schaalii. RNAcentral's name for it is "bacterial SSU rRNA". It matches the Rfam family "Bacterial small subunit ribosomal RNA", at positions 1 to 522 of the family's 1533-position model. Lineage: Bacteria; Bacillati; Actinomycetota; Actinomycetes; Actinomycetales; Actinomycetaceae. The record is from RNAcentral.